UAUGGUAAGCCAGCAGCCGCGGUAAAACGUAGGUCACAAGCGUUGUCCGGAAUUACUGGGUGUAAAGGGAGCGCAGGCGGGAAGACAAGUUGGAAGUGAAAUCCAUGGGCUCAACCCAUGAACUGCUUUCAAAACUGUUUUUCUUGAGUAGUGCAGAGGUAGGCGGAAUUCCCGGUGUAGCGGUGGAAUGCGUAGAUAUCGGGAGGAACACCAGUGGCGAAGGCGGCCUACUGGGCACCAACUGACGCUGAGGCUCGAAAGUGUGGGUAGCAAACAGG
Molecule: ribosomal RNA, 278 nt
Filed under: Faecalibacterium prausnitzii
Lineage: Bacteria; Bacillati; Bacillota; Clostridia; Eubacteriales; Oscillospiraceae
Description: partial 16S ribosomal RNA
Rfam family: Bacterial small subunit ribosomal RNA
Source: RNAcentral